AAGUUGCCAAUGGCAACCGUUUGACAGUUCGUCUGCAGUGCAAAAGUAAAAAGUAAAAACCACAGAUUCACUGCUUCUAAUUAGUGAAAGAUUGUGGCGAGCAUUUGGUAAUGAAGUCCGUUUACGCAAAGUCUUCUUUGUUUCUCGAUUCGAUUGUCCAAUACUUAUCAGUGGUUGUCCCGCAUCCCUGCACGUGGUUUAAGAGAAUCAUUCAUGUCAAGGAAACGUUGGUGUCAAUCCAGCAUUAUCACAUCACAUUUAUGCAAAAUGAGAUUUGCAUUGUUUCACCUGCACUGGACAUUCAGUCAUUCAACUUCUCCAUGGUGAAAAAGUGCAAGAAGCCGAAAAUUUUAUUCUGUGUCUUUAUUAUUGGGCCAUCAUCACAUUAGCUCAAAUACUAGUCUAAGCUUUUUAAGUCAUAGUUGGUGUUGUCUUGUGCUUUUGAAGAAUCCAGUGAUGGAAAAGUACCUGCUGGUUGAUCCUGUACACUUCUUUUCCAGAAAAAUGUAGCCCGAAUUGCUUUUUCCAAUCUACAUGGAAGUUAAAAAAAUUUGUACACUUCCACAUCAAGCAAUGAAAUAUGCCUUUCUGUUGAAGACAAAAUGCUAGCCAGUGAGAAGAAUGUUGACGUUAUUGUAAAAAGUUUCGGGAUCGUCAACAUACGGACCAGUUUCCGCCUACGGGUUCCAGGUUUAAAAAUAAAAACUAAUCUUCUCGACUUUCUCGUCCUACAGUUCCUGCAUAACGAGCAGAUUUUGGCAACUCUUGAUUAUUCUGAAAUCUUUGUACUAUGACCGACAUGGGCUGCAUAUAUAGUGGGUCGUUAUAUAAGACACCGUUAAAGUGGCAGCCGGGAAGAAAUUGGCAGUGGUUGAAAAACUUGGCGUGGAGGACUGUAAGAUGUGGUACUACUUGAGCAGCCAUGUCAACUUAAAUGGCUGCAUGCAAUUCGUCAAGACAAAAUUUGAAAAGGCCCUUUGUCAUGAGAAAAUGCAGCUUGAGGCAAGAAAUAUUGAAACAGGUUCCUUCCAGUCGACAAAAAAGCAUAAAGGCUAACAUCGAAUCCUCUCAAGAUUUGAAUGAGUGAGUUGCUAGAAAAGCCCUUAAGACGGUCAUCUAAGUUGAGAGAGAAGAUGACAAGCCUGAUCUGUUUAUGAAUCAAAACAAAGGGAACAAAAUGGUAACUGAAAAAGUUACGGUAAACAAAUCAUGCGUUGCAGAUGGCGAUUUGACGUUACAAGUAUGUAGAAUCCAAAUCCAAAGAAGAGUCAGCUAAGAACUAUCUAUUACUGGUACACCAACUGUUAACGAAACUUAUUCCAUACACUUCAAGACUGCCAUUGUGGAGUGCGCAUAUGUUGACUUGCGAUUAAUGAUUCUGGUGGAUUCGUUACCAAGGAGGUGAACCCCCUCUCCCCCACCAAAUCUCAAUCUCUUUUACCAGCCAACGCCAUUUUCAAAUUGUGUAUGCACGGCCGACACAAGACAUAUGUCAACCAGGACCCGACGAGCUAUCCACUUUCGCUAAAACUAGGCAUCAGAGGACAGAGACACCAAAAAUGACUGUUCAUCCUAUGUUGUUGCAAUUGCCCACCAUUCCAAUUUCCAUUCGUCCUAUUUGAGCUAGGAUGCUUCUCUUCUGUCUGGCACAAGUUACCCUACGUGACCACAUUCUCCAGGAGAAGCGGAUUAAGAGCUGGAUCCUGGCCAAUCGUCACUCAUACUCA
Daphnia pulex (common water flea) is the source of this 1727-nucleotide long non-coding RNA. RefSeq lists it as uncharacterized. The transcript has 5 exons. Lineage: Eukaryota; Metazoa; Arthropoda; Branchiopoda; Diplostraca; Daphniidae. The record is from RefSeq and is a predicted model, not a curated record.